ACGAACGCUGGCGGCGUGCUUAACACAUGCCAGUCGCACGAUGACGACCGAGCUUGCUCGGUCUGAUUAGUGGCGAACGGGUGAGUAACACGUGAGCAACCUGCCCUUCACUCUGGGAUAACCUCGGGAAAUCGGGGCUAAUACCGGAUAUGAGCUCCUGUCGCAUGGCGGGUGUUGGAAAGUUUUUCGGUGAAGGAUGGGCUCGCGGCCUAUCAGUUUGUUGGUGAGGUAGUGGCUCACCAAGGCGAUGACGGGUAGCCGGCCUGAGAGGGCGACCGGCCACACUGGGACUGAGACACGGCCCAGACUCCUACGGGAGGCAGCAGUGGGGAAUAUUGCACAAUGGGCGAAAGCCUGAUGCAGCGACGCCGCGUGAGGGAUGACGGCCUUCGGGUUGUAAACCUCUUUCAGCAGGGAAGAAGCGAAAGUGACGGUACCUGCAGAAGAAGCGCCGGCUAACUACGUG
Molecule: ribosomal RNA, 466 nt
Filed under: uncultured bacterium
Lineage: Bacteria
Description: partial 16S ribosomal RNA
Rfam family: Bacterial small subunit ribosomal RNA
Source: RNAcentral